This 495-nucleotide ribosomal RNA is filed under the name uncultured bacterium. RNAcentral's name for it is "partial 16S ribosomal RNA". It matches the Rfam family "Bacterial small subunit ribosomal RNA", at positions 28 to 507 of the family's 1533-position model. The record is from RNAcentral.
GACGAACGCUGGCGGCGUGCCUAAUACAUGCAAGUAGAACGCUGAAGGAGGAGCUUGCUUCUCCGGAUGAGUUGCGAACGGGUGAGUAACGCGUAGGUAACCUGCCUGGUAGCGGGGGAUAACUAUUGGAAACGAUAGCUAAUACCGCAUAACAGUAGAUAUUGCAUGAUAUCUGCUUGAAAGGUGCAAUUGCAUCACUACCAGAUGGACCUGCGUUGUAUUAGCUAGUUGGUGGGGUAACGGCUCACCAAGGCGACGAUACAUAGCCGACCUGAGAGGGUGAGCGGCCACACUGGGACUGAGACACGGCCCAGACUCCUACGGGAGGCAGCAGUAGGGAAUCUUCGGCAAUGGACGGAAGUCUGACCGAGCAACGCCGCGUGAGUGAAGAAGGUUUUCGGAUCGUAAAGCUCUGUUGUAAGAGAAGAACGAGUGUGAGAGUGGAAAGUUCACACUGUGACGGUAUCUUACCAGAAAGGGACGGCUAACUACGUG